RNAcentral lists this ribosomal RNA (482 nucleotides) under uncultured bacterium. RNAcentral's name for it is "partial 16S ribosomal RNA". It matches the Rfam family "Bacterial small subunit ribosomal RNA", at positions 30 to 507 of the family's 1533-position model. The record is from RNAcentral.
AUUGAACGCUGGCGGCAUGCCUUACACAUGCAAGUCGAACGGUAACGGGCCUUCGGGUGCCGACGAGUGGCGAACGGGGGAGUAAUACAUUGGAACGUGCCCGAUCGUGGGGGAUAACGAGGCGAAAGCUUUGCUAAUACCGCAUACGAUCUACGGAUGAAAGCGGGGGACCGCAAGGCCUUGCGCGGACGGAGCGGCCGAUGGCAGAUUAGGUAGGUGGUGGGAUAAAAGCUUACCAAGCCGACGAUCGGUAGCUGGUCUGAGAGGAUGAUCAGCCACACUGGGACUGAGACACAGCACAGACUCCUACGGGAGGCAGCAGUGGGGAAUUUUGGGCGAUGGGCGCAAGCCUGAUCCAGCCAUGCCGCGUGCAGGCUGAAGGCCUUCGGGUUGUAAACUGCUUUUGUACGGAACGAAAAGCCUUCUUUUAAUACAGGAGGAUCAUGACGGUACCGGAAGAAUAAGCACCGGCUAACUACGUG